UUCAAAGGGGAACAUCAGGGAGCGUUGCUGAGUCAUGUGACUUGGCAACCAGCCCAGGCGCCAGUUUAGACUGACCGAGUGCCUGCUCCCCACAUUCCCAGGAUCUUCUGAGUUGUUUUGGUGAGCGCGGAGCCUGUUCCUAUUGCCUGACUACUGAAGCCUUGAUGUUCAUUCCACAAGAAGAUACCCUUUCCUGGAACUACAAACCCAGUCAAAAGUCACCAGGCCCGGGGUGGGGGGGGGGGGGGGGAGAAACUACUGUUGUUGUUUUGUUACUUGGUCAUGUGGUCCACCUGCUUUCCCCAGGACUUACACUCACAGGCACUCCUCAGUGCUGUUCUCAGCUCCUAGCGGCAAAGGCUGAGAUCCAUCUCUAAUCGAAGUACAGAGAAUAAAUGACUAUGAAAUGGUCCCUGAGCAGGAUCUCUCUACCACAAACGUAAAGGCUCAGGAAACACCGUGGGAGAGAAGGUGGAAGGAAGAAGGUCGGAGUCAGGGUUGGGGAGGACUGCUGUUGGAGAGAGACAACAGUGUUUCCUGGGCACCAUCAGCCAUUGCCCAUAUGAGCUCACCACAGCUGCAGCUGCCCGGACAUGAUGGCUCCCAGCAAUACUUCUUCAUGCAUCUGGGGAAGGCCUCCCCAGAGACCUCCUCACAGAGGGACUAUGGGAAAUUUAUAUUUGCUAGUAGAAGGGGUAUUGUUUUGUUAAUGGUACAGCCACUGCUAAGUUCCAGUAAGUAACUCUCCACUCAUGUCCAUGAAAGAAAACAGAAUUAAAAACCCAAUGUGUCCAACCAAUAAAAAAGACUUGAGAGAGAGAGAGAGAGAGAGAGAGAGAACUAAUUGAUCAACAAGGGUGACCUGCCUGCACAAUGUGCUAGUAUGAUAGUGGCUCAAACAUUGUGAGUAACUAACCACUCUCUUACUGGAGUUAAGGUCCACCCGGUGAGAUGGAACUGAUGCCUGAACUUUGGGUCACUAGGGAAUAACCAAAUACCAUUGCUCUGCUAAAGUAACACAGCAAUAAAAUGACUCCUAAUGAUAUUCUGCUAUACCCAUAGAUCAGCGUCUGACUCUGCCAUCAUCACAGAAGCUUCCUCCUGCAGUAGAUGGGAGCAAGUGGGCAAUAUACAGAGAAUGAGAGACUUUGGCACACUCAGUCCUAAAUGAAACAUUUUCAGUAAAGCCUCCCCUCAGAGCUCAGGUCGCUGUGUGGAUGAGGAGGAACAAAGAUGACAAAAGCCAGAAAAGACAGAUGACGCCAAGGAUGACACCAAGGUGACACCAAGGAUACAGUGUCUUCCAGAAACAACAGGGCUAAUGCACAUAUAAACUCACAGAGACACAUGGCAGUACACACAGGGCCUGCACAUGGCCAAGACAAACUGGUACUGAUAGGGUAAAUGGACAGGAGCUCCCACCCCUAACCAAAGCAAUAUAUACAAAUAACAACUGCGUACAAAGGAAAAUUAUCUUUCCAAUGGAAUCUUACUGGAUACAUAAGCCACACUCCAGGGUUGACCCCAUGCUCAGCAGUAGACAGCCAACACAAGACUAACUCAAUGGCACUUUUAUAAUUUUCUUUGUCUCAUAUACUUUGGGCAUUUUAAAAUAUUACUUAUAUAUUAUGAUUUCUGAUAUUGUAUUAUUAUUUUUGCUUGUAUCUUUUGUGCUUUUUCGUUUUUAAAUUUGUUUUUUUUAUUUGCCUGCA
This is a long non-coding RNA of Apodemus sylvaticus (European woodmouse), 1712 nucleotides long. RefSeq lists it as uncharacterized. NCBI's taxonomy places the organism in Eukaryota, Metazoa, Chordata, Mammalia, Rodentia, Muridae. The record is from RefSeq and is a predicted model, not a curated record. The transcript is spliced from 2 exons.